RNAcentral lists this ribosomal RNA (1103 nucleotides) under uncultured archaeon. RNAcentral's name for it is "bacterial SSU rRNA". It matches the Rfam family "Archaeal small subunit ribosomal RNA", at positions 61 to 1152 of the family's 1478-position model. The record is from RNAcentral.
AGCUACGAAGGGAAGCAGCACAAAGCUCAGUAACGCGUAGUUAACCUACCCUCAGGACGGGCAUACCCUCGGGAAACUGAGGUCAAUUCCCGAUAGAUGACUAGGCUUGGAAUGGUUUUUCAUCCAAAGGUAUCAUCUCAUGCGAUGAUGCCACCUGAGGAUGGGAUUGCGUCGGAUUAGGUUGUUGGUGGGGUAAUGGCCCACCAUGCCGAUAAUCCGUACGGGCUGUGAGAGCAGUAGCCCGGAGAUGGAGACUGAGACAAGGCUCCAGGUCCUACGGGGCGCAGCAGGCGCGAAAACUCCGCAAUGCGCGCAAGCGUGACGGGGUCAUCCCAAGUGCCGUCCGAUAAGGUCGGCUUUUGUCCAGCGUAAAUAACUGGACGAAUAAGGGGAGGGCAAGGCUGGUGCCAGCCGCCGCGGUAAAACCAGCUCCUCGAGUAGUCGGGAGGAUUACUGGGCCUAAAGCGUCCGUAGCCGGCCCUAUAAGUUUCCGGUCAAAACCAGCGGCCUAACCGCUGGCUUGCUGGGGGUACUAUAGGGCUUGGGAGCGCGAGAGGCCGAGGGUACUUAUAGGGUAGGGGUGAAAUCCUAUAAUCCUAUAGGGACCACCGGUGGCGAAGGCGCUCGGCUGGAACGCGUCCGACGGUGAGGGACGAAAGCCAGGGGAGCGAACCGGAUUAGAUACCCGGGUAGUCCUGGCUGUAAACGAUGCGGACUGGGUGUUAGGGUGGCUACGAGCUGCUCUAGUGCCGCAGAGAAGUCGUUAAGUCCGCCGCCUGGGGAGUACGGCCGCAAGGCUGAAACUUGAAGGAAUUGGCGGGGGAGCACCACAAGGGGUGAAGCCUGCGGUUUAAUUGGACUCAACGCCGGGAAGCUUACCGGGGGCGACAGCUGGAUGAAAGCCAGGCUGAUGACCUUGCUAGACUAGCUGAGAGGAGGUGCAUGGCCGUCGCCAGUUCGUGCCGUGAGGUGUCCUGUUAAGUCAGGCAACGAACGAGAUCCCCGCGCAUAGUUGCCAGCAGACCCCUACGGGAGUGCCGGGCACACUACGCGGACCGCAGUCGAUAAGACUGAGGAAGGAGGGGGCCACGGCAGGUCAGUAU